GACGAACGCUGGCGGCGUGCCUAAUACAUGCAAGUAGGACGCAGUUGCGAACGGGUGAGUAACGCGUAUGUAACUGCCUAUUAGAGGGGGAUAACUAUUGGAAACGAUAGCUAAUACCGCAUACUCGUAGAUGGACCUGCGUUGUAUUUGGUAGUAGGUAGGGUAAUGGCCUCACUAGGCGACGAUACAUAGACGAACAGAGUGGGUGAUCGGACAAACUGGGAAUGAGAAACGGCCACGAAUCAUAAGGGAGGCAGCAGGAGGGAAUCUUAGGAAAUGGGGGGAACACUGACCGAGCAACGGCGGGUGAGGGAAGAAGGUUUUAGGAUCGUAAAGCUAUGUUGUUAAAGAAGCGGUACUUAACCAGAAAGGGACGGCUAACUACGUGCCAGCAGCCGCGGUAAUAC
This 407-nucleotide ribosomal RNA is filed under the name uncultured bacterium. RNAcentral describes it as "partial 16S ribosomal RNA". It matches the Rfam family "Bacterial small subunit ribosomal RNA", at positions 28 to 526 of the family's 1533-position model. The record is from RNAcentral.